CUUACAGAAUGAUUUUAUGUUCGGAGAACCAUUAAUUGAUUUCAAAAGCUUCGAUGACACAUUCCAAUACUAGUAAUACAAAACAUUUGUGAACUUAAGAAUAUAAAGAUUCUGAAAACACCAGAAAUCUAUAUGCUUUCAAGACAUAAAAAUAUAAUUAAUUGUGUAAUGUAAUAAGGAAAGAAACUUUUAGUUGGCACAAUUCCGCACAGGGACAAUAAUUAUAAACCAAUUAACAUGUUCUCUAGUAUUAUGGAGGGCACUAACUACCAAAUUCACUGGGUACUAUAGAGGGUACUGCUCGUUUGAAAUGACAUUUUUCAGGAAAAUCAUUUCCGUGCUUCAGCCUUCUUCUGCUCUUUUGCAGCCUUUUCUUCUUCUCGCUUUCUGGCAGCUUCUGCCCUUUGCUGACGUAUGAGAGUCAAACGCUCUGCAUGAAUCCAUCUCACAUGAGAAGGCAUAGAAAUUGAUAUUGGAGCAUCAUAAAUGUGACAAUGAAUGCAACACUUCAUGAGCAUGCUAACCAUCUAUAAUAUCUUCAUGAAUGUUGCUUUUAUCUAGAUGUGUUUGUGUUACCCUGAAUUUCCUUCAAUUUUCAUAGACAAGCCAUCAAGGCAAAAAAGAUGUUUAUCUAUGCAUAUAUAAAACAAUAAUCUAAUUGUCACAGUAGGUGAUCUCAUGGCAUACUAACGUGUCAAAAGAUACAUCGUCCAUCAAACCAAAUCUAUUUCAUAGCUUAACCAUAUUCAACAUGCUUAUAGUCAACAUUAUACCUCCAACACAAUACAAAUAUAAACACGAAAAAAGGGAAAGGAAAAAAGGGGAAAAUACAUAAAACAAUAAAAUGCAAAUACAUGCCUAAGUCUUUUCUGGCUUGUUCUGUUUUUCCUUGUUCUUGCAGCCUCAUGUAUCGCUCAUGAGCUCUUUGUUUCUCUAACUCUUCCCUGCAAAUAACAUAUACAAGUUGGAAGUCAAAUAAAUUUAUUCACAUAGAUAAUUAAAGAUUAUUAGGUUUGAAUCCCAGUUUUAGGAUACUAAUCCAGCCAGCAAAGAUACGAAAACUGGGUAAUUGUUAAUAGUUCAUUCCAUAUACAAUAGCGCAUUCUCUCUUUGGUAGACAGUAAGCAGUCCCCAUAAGAGGACAAGCAAUGAGCAUUUACCAACCUUUCACGCCUUGAAAGCUCUGUUGUUUUCCCAAUAUCAAUGUCUCUAGCUUUCACAUUCUUUGGCUUUGCCAGAUUAGGAUUUUCAAUCUGAAUAAUGCCUUGAGUUCCCUUCCGCUUUUGUUCAGGUUCAUCAUCUGAUUCUUCUUCAGACUCCUCCCCAGAUUCUUCUUCAGGUUGUUCCUUUUCAUAUUCAGCUUCUUGCUUUUUAAAUGUACGAGGGCGUGAGGAGGUGCCAGCAAGCAUCUCCUCAGGAGUGGAAAAGUGGCGCUGACCGGUGGGCUUGCCCUUAAACUUUCCUCUUCCCAUGGUGACCGCCGGAUAAACUAAACAGAGCUAGAAAGGGAAGAUUGAAUUGGUUGUUUGAAUAUGAUGAGAAGCUGAGCUGAUCAAGAAGCAGUUACUGUGUCUCUUAAAUAGAACUUUUGGUUUUUCCGGAGGAGGAUUUUGAAUUGAACUCAAAAACCCUAGUUCUACUGGAGAAUGGAAAUAUCAAAUAUGGAAUCGGAGCAGCGUGUGGAGUGGAGGGGACAAAUCGUGUGCAAUGAUGUAU
RNAcentral lists this unclassified non-coding RNA (1716 nucleotides) under Hevea brasiliensis (rubber tree). The record is from RNAcentral. Lineage: Eukaryota; Viridiplantae; Streptophyta; Magnoliopsida; Malpighiales; Euphorbiaceae.